RNAcentral lists this RNase P RNA (345 nucleotides) under Rickettsiales bacterium. Its description in RNAcentral is "RNase P RNA component class A". It matches the Rfam family "Bacterial RNase P class A". From Rfam's summary of the family: Ribonuclease P (RNase P) is a ubiquitous endoribonuclease, found in archaea, bacteria and eukarya as well as chloroplasts and mitochondria. Its best characterised activity is the generation of mature 5'-ends of tRNAs by cleaving the 5'-leader elements of precursor-tRNAs. Cellular RNase Ps are ribonucleoproteins. The record is from RNAcentral. Lineage: Bacteria; Pseudomonadati; Pseudomonadota; Alphaproteobacteria; Rickettsiales.
UGGUGGGAGAAGACAAUCGCUGCUUAAUUUAGUUUAAGGAGAGGAAAGUCCGGACUCUACAGGGUAAGACGCCUCCUAACGGGAGGGCGGUGAAAGCCGACGGAAAGUGCCGCAGAAACAAAACCGCCACUGAUGUGGUAAGGGUGAAAACGUGAGGUAAGAGCUCACGGCUACGUUUAGUAAUAAACUAGUGGGUAAACCCCGUCUAGAGCAAGACCAAAUAGAGGAAGAGAGUUGACCCGACUCAUUAUUAUUCCCGGGUAGGUUGCUUGAGCUUAAGCGUGAGUUUAAGCCUAGAUAGAUGAUUGUCCAUGACAAAAUCCGGCUUAUGACUCCCACCAUCUC